RNAcentral lists this ribosomal RNA (527 nucleotides) under uncultured bacterium. RNAcentral's name for it is "partial 16S ribosomal RNA". It matches the Rfam family "Bacterial small subunit ribosomal RNA", at positions 355 to 867 of the family's 1533-position model. The record is from RNAcentral.
GGGGGAAUUUUGGACAAUGGGCGAAAGCCUGAUCCAGCAAUGCCGCGUGUGUGAAGAAGGCCUUUGGGUUGUAAAGCACUUUUUGUCCGGAAAGAAAUCCUUGGCUCUAAUACAGUCGGGGGAUGACGGUACCGGAAGAAUAAGCACCGGCUAACUACGUGCCAGCAGCCGCGGUAAUACGUAGGGUGCAAGCGUUAAUCGGAAUUACUGGGCGUAAAGCGUGCGCAGGCGGUUUGCUAAGACCGAUGUGAAAUCCCCGGGCUCAACCUGGGAACUGCAUUGGUGACUGGCAGGCUAGAGUAUGGCAGAGGGGGGUAGAAUUGCCACGUGUAGCAGUGAAAGUGCGUAGAGAUGUGGAGGAAUACCGAUGGCGAAGGCAGCCCCCUGGGCCAAUACUGACGCUCAUGCACGAAAGCGUGGGGAGCAAACGAGGAUUAGAUACCCUGGUAGUCCAGCGCCCUAAAACCGAUGUCAACUAGUUGUUGGGGAUUGCAUUUCCUUAGUAACGUAGCUAACGCGUGAAGUUG